Molecule: long non-coding RNA, 1071 nt
Organism: Hipposideros armiger (great roundleaf bat)
Lineage: Eukaryota; Metazoa; Chordata; Mammalia; Chiroptera; Hipposideridae
Exons: 3
Source: RefSeq, a predicted model, not a curated record
UUCCCCUGGACCCUCUCUCCCACUCUAGAUAAAUCUAUCCACCUGCUAUGGUCCAUUCAUCCCCAACUCAAGCCAUCCCAGGAACAGUGACAGAAGGAGCCUGCCCUAAAUCCUUUAAAUGACUUCCUGCUCUCCCCCAACAAGAUGGCGGAUUCAAGUGAAUGGGGAUUGUGUUAUCAAUGUGGAUAUUAUAUUCUUUGUUCCGUCAGCUGGGUCUGAAUCCUGUCUUCUUCUUAGUAGCUACGUGAACUUGGGCAGGAAAAGCCACUCUGAUGGCACAGGAUGACACCGAUCAAUGGGACGGAGUCGGGAGCUGGGACAGCAUGAAGAGGGGUGGACAUCCUAAAGAAGUCAUUCUCAGCAGCAGCCCUGGCAACACAGGUGGAAUCGCACAGGGGCAGAGGCCAGUGACGACUUUCAUGACUCAUCUUUAUAUCCCAGAAAAGAAGAAACAUUCCAAAGUGGCUGCUUGAGAUAAGGACAGGGUGGGACCCAAGAGCAACGGCAACUCAGAAUCAGAAAUUAGGGGAGGAUUCCACACACCCAGCUAGUGAGGAUGAAUUUAAAGAGAACUGUGUGUGGUGUGGUCCCCUAACCUAGGGCACAUAAUUCGCAUUCCUCUGUGGGAUCCACUCUCCUCAGUUAAAUCUUCCAUGGUUGGGGUUGCCCUUAAGACACUGUUUUGGCUAGGUGGGUCCUCAGCGACCUUUCCACCCUCACCCCUGCCUUGCUGGGAGCUUUCCUCUCUAGAAAUGUUACUAGUCAAUGAAUAUUAUGCCUUUUGGGGCGGGCACAGGAGAAGGUGAUGUUUACAGACCCUAGGGGUGGAAUCUGUAAGCUGGGCGGGGCUCGCUCUUACUUCAAAGUCUUGACUCCUCUGCGGCCUCCUUUCCCUGAGCAACAGAGCUGUUUGGCCCGCAGUGCCUGGCUCAAGGUCAGGGAGCAAGCAGCCAAGGCCAGGAGGAGGGGGCGGUGAUUCCCAGCACUGCUAUCACCUGACAUUUACUUUACAGUCUGUUAACUCCCAAACAAUACAGUACAUGCCGAUGUGCAGGGUACCUUCCGUCUAAU